UCUCCGUUGGUGAACCAGCGGAGGGAUCAUUACAGGACUCGCAAGACUCCUACAACCCUGUGAACUUAACUAUAAGCACGUUGCUUCGGCGGGUGUCUCGGAGGGGGUUCUCCCUCCCCGAGACGCUAAACCCGCUGGCAGCCUACUAUACUCUGUCUCUUUGCGUUGGCAUCUCGAGUACAAUCAAACAAGUUAAAACUUUCAACAACGGAUCUCUUGGUUCUG
This 225-nucleotide unclassified non-coding RNA is filed under the name plant metagenome. RNAcentral's name for it is "partial contains small subunit ribosomal RNA, internal transcribed spacer 1, and 5.8S ribosomal RNA". The record is from RNAcentral.